UACAGAUUACUAAUUCAUUCCAAAGGCUGUAUAGAGGUUAAUCUCAACUGUUGCAUGUAGAUAUUUUUGUAAAUACCCAACCGAGGACGAAGAUUUUGUAUGUUUUCAUAAUUGCAUGCUGGAGGUCAUAAUAUUCAUAGUCUAGAACUUCUUUGACCAUUGAAAUUUCCUAGUCAAGUUUCGAAUUACUGUCUGUUAAUGAAGCAUCACAUUUUCUUAAAGCCCAAACUUUUCUCUUCCAGCUGCUUGAUAAUGUGGAAAACAAGAUGAAGGGCACGUGUGUGGAAGGCACCAUACCUAAAUUGUUCAGAGGCAAAAUGGUGGUAUGUGGCUACCAGCUUUAGAGAAUGAUUUUAAGAUGAUUUAAGAACGCUACGAUAGCGACAAUUAACACUUAAGCCCUCUUAUUUUCCUUAUUUGUAGUCCUAUAUCCAGUGUAAAGAAGUAGACUAUCGAUCCGAUAGGAGAGAAGAUUAUUAUGAUAUCCAGCUAAGUAUAAAAGGAAAGAAAAACAGUAAGUUCCGUGUACAUAACCUUGGCCUUCCGCUCAUUUCUGUUUUGGUUUCAUGCUUCAUUGACCCCGGUGAUUUUCAUUGAAAGCUAGUGCAGACAGAGACCCCCGCCCGAGUGAUGAGUGAACAGCCUCACAAGUGAACGCAGGCUCGCGGCCCCACACGGGUCACACAUCACGAUGCCUGCCGCCCACACGUUGGUUCUUCCCGGCCACGACCUCCUCGUCUCAAAGGAGAACCGCUGUUUGGCCUUUUAACACCCCCCCCCCCCCCCCCGUUAUUUUUGCCUGUUUUAAGUAUUUAUAGAGAUGGGAUCGUACACGCUACACAGCCCCUGCUUCUCUCCUUUUGCCCAGCGCCACAUCUGUGCAUCGUGCAUAUCGCGAGGAGCGGUGGUAACUUGAUGGUUUUCGUUGCUUUACGCUACUCCACGUGAGGAGGAUGCCGCAGGUUUUAGGGAACCACUCUUCCCUUGGUAGAUGUUUGCGUUUUCAGUGUGUGGUGCUCGGACAUAAGGUUCCUUUCCCGUUGCUGUGCCCAUCUCUGGCACGCAUCCUUCUGCGUUCACGGUGAGCGGAAUUGUAGGCUCCAAGGGUACGCGUAUACAUUCGGUGGGUGAGGCCAGCGAGGCUCCCAGAGCAGUCUGUUGAUCUCUGUUCCCCAGCCAUGUGUGACAGUGGCCAUCUCUCUGCAUCCACAGCAGGACCACUGGUCAGCAGUCUGGACAUUUUGGUGAGAGUGUGGCACUCUUGCUGUCUGUAUGCAUUUCCCCAAAGGUCAGCGAGAUGGUCACCUUUCCGGCUGCUUACUGGCAAUUUGGAUGUCUUCUUGAACAUCUGGGAUGGAGUUAAUAAUAGUUGAUGUCCUUGAUUGCCAGUUUUGUCACCUGUGAUUUCUGGGUUGGUUUCUGUUGAUUCACUUUGCUCUUCAUCAGGGGCUGUUUUCCAGCUUCCUUGCAUGUCUGGUCCUCUUAGUGGAUGCCUGCCAUUGUGAUUUUUACCUUGUUCGGGUAUGGACGUUCUUCACUUUUUUUCUGGGACCUGUUGGAGUUGCUUGGACACCAUGUGAUUCUUUGGAGGCUUGUUUUUACGCCCUGUCCGGUGGGAGCACAGCAGUUUGUGGUUAGCGCUACAUGGGCCACCACCUGAGGCCGUGCCCGGAGCUCCGUGUACAAGGAGGCUUUUCACCGUGGCUGGAGGGAACACAGACUGUUCCCAGGCUCGCGUGUCCUCUGGGGGCUGUACCCCCGGCCUCUGGGUGGUUCUUUCCCUGCCCCCAGAUAAGUCUUCACCCUGCUUGCUGGUCAGCCCUCCCUGGGGGCUCUGGGAGAGCUGCCGCUUUCUUCUUGGGCACUCUGCGCUGCAGAUGGCAGCUGCUGUGGGCCCUGUUUGGGUUUCUCUCCCACACGGUGAGCUGGGACAGUUGAACUGCUCUUACCCAUCAUGGUCCCGUACCGCCUGUUUUCCCGGGCCUGAAACCUCUUUUGGACGGGACAGUCCCGGGGUCCUUGUCCAGCGCAGGAGAGUGUGCCUGGUGCCUCUCCUUCCUGAGGGAGCCGUGACGGGCAGGGAGCCGGGCAGGAGCCAUUCUCAGUGCUCUGGGCACUGGCCCGGCUGUGUUGCUGAGCUGCUCCCUCUGUGGGGCUCACCUAUUUUCACUCUUCUAAGUUUGCCAUGUGUUUAAUGGAAUUGCAGAAUUUUAGUGAAAUCACCGGAUUUUUUCUUUGCUUUUUGUGUCCUAAGAACAUCUGUCCUGAAGUCAUAAGGUCGUCUCUGAUUUGUUACUGUUUUAUCUUUUCUGUUUGUCUACAAUCCCCACACAGUGGUGUUUUGCAUGUGGUAGGAUGUCAAGACCGACCCACCUGAGACUGUGGGUCUCAGGUGAUCCCGUCACAUUUUCCGCGUUGCUCUCCACCUUUGUUAGCGGCCAGUUGCUCAUAUUUGUGUGGGUUUGUUUUUAGAUUCUUGCUUCUGGUCCACUGGUUCUCCCUGAGCAAAUUGUACACCUCCCACCCCCAGCUUUAUUUUGGUUAAAUUGACAAAAUGUUAGGAUAUUCAAAGUGUACGUUGUGAUCGUUGCGGAUAUACUGUGAAAGGAGUGCUCUGUCCCAGUGACCACCUUGACACGUCCCUUCUUCAUCGCGCGCGCACGUGCAUGAGAGAAUAUUUAAGUGCUGCACUCUUGGCAAACUUCAGUUAGACAACAGGAUGUUGAGCCCUUGUCACCGUGUUCUGCGUUAGGUCCUUAGUCCUUCUCUGAUGGCUGGAAGUUUGCACCCUUUCACCUUGACCCCACGUUCCUGCUCUAUCUACACGGUCUUUCUUACAGCUCUAUGUAUGGGUUAGAUUUUGUACUUUAACGGUACUUGAUUUUGGUAAAGCUAUUAAAACACUUGAUUCCGUGUUACAGCUUCAAACACCCUCAAGGAACCGUGUCAGUGUUCUCAGGGGUCCGGGUUUUCAUGGAGCAGCGGGGGCUUGGUGGCCGUCCGGGGCAGGGGCUGGAGGCCACCACUGGUGUCCUCCCUGGCAAGCUUGAGCGCAUGGGGCAGCCGUGCCGUCAUGAAGGCCUUUAGUGAGACCAUUGGCUGACUGACUCUCUCUCUCUCUCUCUGAAGUAUUUGAAUCAUUUGUGGAUUACGUGGCCGUGGAACAACUAGACGGCGACAAUAAAUACGACGCCGGGGAGCACGGCUUGCAGGUAAUGCGGGAACGAUGCGCUGCUUCAGUUGUGGACCAAACAGUCACUUGGAGCUUUUCAUAAGCUGCUCAGACCCAGAGCUCAAAGGAUUUGAAUUCUGAGUGCAGCCAUUACAUCUUGGGAGCUGCGAUCACACGGCGGGGGUGGGGGCUGGGGGGGGGGGGUUGCAGCUCGUUUCUCAGGUAAGCCUGUCACCCAGCACACGGCGUUUUCUCACUGUGUCUUUCCCCCCUGCUCCUGGCCUCAGUGCUGCCCACGCAGAGCUUUUCCUCCGCUUCUCCGGCUGCGGUGGACUUUGUCGCUCGGACUGCACUUUGGGGUGCAUGUGUGGGGUGCAGUUAGUUUUUGAAAGGGUCGUGACUUAGAGGAUAAGGAGUGCGUCUUCUGUCCUGGUUCUGUGAACCCGGGCUGUCCCUGCUUAUCUUCCACAAGGCCCCGCAGGGACCCGAAGCUUCUGGCAGAGCAGUGAGCCUUGUGGACCGGUGACUGGUCAGGUGGAGAGACACGGCCUGGGGCACGAUCGGUGGGGCCAGCAGCGCCCUCGCAGACGCAGCCAUCCAGGGUCUGUGUUGCAGACUCCUAACCCGGACACAUCGGCUCAGCCAGUUGCCAAUUUCUCAGACCGUCCUGCUUGCCAGGCUUGCCGAUUUAUAAUUCAUGGUGCUGAUGUGCCCCCUGUUUCAGUGGGCCUCGGAUCUGCUCUUCUCCUGCUUGGUCAGGCCACUCAGGGAUGCUGCACUGUGGAUCAGAAAGUCACGUUGCAGACACGCAGCUAGACGUGCUCAGGGAGCACUGCAGUCAGCUCACGAGAAUUGCCUUGUCCACAGUGGGUUUGGGGGUCUGGGUGAGCAGUACAUAGUAUUUUAGAAUCACAGUCACAAUGGACCGUGGUGGAGGAACAAUUCUUUGAUUCUUUCAAGGUGUAGGAAAACCAUGCCAUUCCUUUGUGUGGCAGGAGGUUCCCAGGUUUUCAUUUUUCUUUCCAGAGAAACCUUGCCCUCGUAAGCACACUGAUUCAGCAUCAGAGAACAUUGUGGCUUGUCACAGCCCCGUUCCUCCGGGUGGACAUAGCCCAGAAGCAAGGUCUGAAUUGAAAGUGGAGCUGUGACAGGACCCCCGGUGGCCUGCUGGUGGCUGAGUUUUCCAGAGAGGCUUAUUUUAGUGAGCAGACCGGAGUCGGGCCUGCAGGGUGGGCCUCAUUCAGGAGUGGGCGAGUCCCACAGCACAGAGACUUGAGUUGCUGGUACUGAGGACAGUCUUCAGAAGCGGGUUGGACUGAGCACUGAGGGCGCGCUCUGACGCGAAGGUCCCGAAAGUCCAGGGUGAGGGAAGCUGAUCUAGUCUAGACCUCCCGGCGCAUGAUUGUCUGUGCCUCUGCCUGUUCUGUCCAGGUGUCUGUGGACACCUCGAACCUUACAGAAUUGUAAUCCUAGGCUUCUGCCUCUCCAUUUAAUGACUUGCUGUGCUUUUCCAUGUAUUUUCCAUCAUGUUUAAUGAGCGUAUAACAUGGCAGCAUGAUUAAGCCCCCAUUCACCUGGCUAUUGCCUGUGGUUGGGCCUCAGAGAGAACAUAACCCAAAAUAAACCUCGCACAUGAGCUGCUGCUGCAUGGUCUCAGUUUUGGUAGCAGACGUGGUGAAGGUCUAAGUAGAACAUCUUAUUUUAUUUAAAAAAAUUUUUUUAAUGUUUAUUUAUUAUUGAGAGACAGAGCAUGAGCAGGGGAGGGGCAGAGAGAGGGGGAGACACAGAAUCCGAAGCAGGUUCCAGGCUCUGAGCUGUCAGCACAGAACCCAACGUGGGGCUCGAACCCGUGAACCGGGAGAUCAUGACCUGAGCCGAAGUCGGACACUUAACCGACUGAGCCACCCAGGUGCCCCUUAAAUAUUUAUUUUUGAGAACUAGUGAGUGGGGAUGGUGGGGGGGAUGGGGCGGAGGUGGAGUGGGGGGGUGGAUAGAGGGUCUGAAGUGGGCUCUGUGCUGACAUCAGAGGAGAUGAUGUGGGGCUUGAACUCAUGAACCACAAGAUCAUGACCUAAGCUAUUUUUAGUUUUUUUACUUGAAAUGUAGUUGACAUGCACUAUUUUAUUUUAGGUGUGCCAUGUAAGAUUUGGUGUUGAGCAUUAUGAAAUGCUCACCACGACAGGCCUAGUGGCUCUCUGUCCCCACAUAGCGUUCUCAGUGUCACUACGUUGUACUUUGAAUCUGUGACCUGUUUAUUUUAUAACUGGAAGUUAGUGCCUCUUGAUCCCCCUCACCUAUUUUGUCACAUCCUCCAGCCCCUGCCCACCGAAAACCACCCAUUUGUUCUCUGCUUAUGGGCCUGAACAUUUUCAAAGCACCCCGCCUUGGAUCCCGUAAACCACCCCCACCCCCGUCUUGCCAGCCGCCGUUGUUGCCCUUGUUCCAGGGACAAAGUAGGGCCCAACUAAACUUGGUUUCUUUUCCAAUGUUCAGGAAGCAGAGAAAGGUGUGAAGUUCCUAACUUUGCCACCAGUGUUACAUCUGCAGCUGAUGAGAUUUAUGUAUGACCCUCAGACGGACCAAAAUAUCAAGAUCAAUGAUAGGUAAUCUAUUGUGGGGUGUUAAAGUUAAGAUUGAAUCAUCACCUGACUUCGGGGAGUCGGUCUCCAUGCUUUGUUUGUCUUUUUAUAAUGUCAGUUCAUCUCCGAUGUACUUGGGAGUUCCCUUGUGCCUCAGUUUCCCAAGAAGUAUAAUUUUAAAGGGAUAAUUUCCUUUAAGAGUUUCAGAGGCUCCUCCUCCCAUAACUCCCUCUACUGGAACCCUGCCCCCCUCUGUGCUGUGGCGGAUGGACGUCCUGGGGAGGUGGGGGGGGGGGGGGGGGGGGGGGGGGGGGGGAGGGUGCUUUCUGUUCGACCCGAUGUAGCUUAGCUGUUUGCUCAGGAGUGGGAUUUGAUGUUCCCGUAUUAUUUUGUACUCUCCGUAUCAACUUCUAGAACGUGUUGGAAUUUUCAAGAAGAGGAUGUAGAUGGACUUGUGUGCUUUACUGCCAGUGUUUUCAAAAUUGCAGAUAAAAAGGAAUGAUAGUACACACACCCUUACCUGGUUCAGAAUACAUUAUUUUUGUCCUGGUUAGUUUGAGCUCAGGAUAGGGUGGUUGGUCAGUCCCCCCAUGGAACUGGAGCGAGAGUGGACCCAGUCCGAUUAUUUGCCACCAGCUGGGUCUUUGCCGGCUCCUCGUUGUCCACGAUCGUGGAGUGUGUAGUAAAGAAACCGUCCCCACCAGACCUCACACGUCAGCAGCGCGCAGACUAAGCCCCACCUGCUGGUGGGUGUCGUUGGGUCCUCACCUUGCUUUUGUUUCUGCUUUUGGAAUUAGUUGCCAACGUUAAAACAAAACAGAUCAAAACCUUGAGAUUUCACAUAAAAGCCCAGAUUUCUGGCAUCUUUUAGGAAUUCAGAACAUGUGGCAGCGCAGCCAGAAUCGCUGAGGGCGGCACCGGGGGCGCCGAGCCGGCUGCCCCUGGAGACUCCAUGCGCCGCUCUCCUCCGCGUCUUCGCCGAGCUGCCUGCCCUUCUUCCUGUCUCUCAAGGCCCUCCUAGUAAUUAAUCGUGACCCUGUUAUUAAAAUGCUUAUGGAUCCAGUAAUUUACAAACAAAUCAAGUUCAGAUGUCUCCCGAAAUCCCAGGGUGUACGGGAUCCUUUCUCACGUGUGUCCCCUGUCAGAUUCGAUCCCUCCAGGUUUCUCAAACCUGCAGCGUGUCCUCAGUGGUCUUGGUCCAGGACAGUGGGAAUCACUCAUUAAUACAUUUGCAGCCAUCCACAUCCUAGACAAGUCCUGGUGUGUGUUUGUCCUGAGACUGGCUGUUGUGUGACAUCCUCAGCUUAGAAAUCUGUUGGGUGUCUCCAUGCGUUGUGCGCGUCUUUUCUCAUACCUAGCUUCACAUUUUGUACUGAUGUGUGAAUAAUUGUCCUAAUGAAUAGGAGCCGCCACAGAAGUCCUUCGGAGGGCCUCCCGAGUCAGAGUGAUACUUCUCUUUCCACAUAAAGACGAGCCAGUAAAUUAGAACGUCUAGCAAUAAAGUCUCCACAUGAAAUAUUUUACAUGUCAGUGAAACCUGGAUUUCUUUAAAAAUGUUUUUUUAAUAGGUUUGAAUUCCCAGAACAGUUACCACUCGAUGAAUUUUUGCAAAAAACAGAUCCUAAGGACCCUGCAAAUUAUAUUCUUCACGCAGUCCUGGUUCACAGUGGAGAUAAUCAUGGUGGACAUUACGUGGUUUAUCUAAACCCCAAAGGGGACGGCAAAGUAAGUGCCGGGCAGGGGGCGGAGUCAGAUGUCAUGGUGUGUGGGGCACUCACCCAGCGCUCAGCUUCGCCUUUUCCUCUCCCAACCCGAUGGCCUGAAUAGUGCAGGAUUCCACCCUGGGCUCUGAUUUAUCUGUGUUCCCGUGCAUGAAUGGCUGAUACCUUAAAGGUGAUAGUGAAUGAGUGCUUGCACUUGACGUAUGCACUGAAGUAGCCUUGAACAUUGGACCGUUAUCAUUGCAUAUCUAAUGGGAGGCACUUGCUCUCCACUUAAGAAAUCCUUGGGCAGGUGGGAAUGCAAGCUGGUGCAGCCACUCUGGAAAACAGUGCGGAGGUUCCUCAAAAAAUUAAAAACAGAACUACCCUACUAUCCAGCAAUUGCACUACUAGGCAUUUAUCUAAGGGAUACAGGGAUGCCGUUUCGAAGGGGCACAUGCACCCCAAUGUUUAUAGCAGCACUUUCAACAAUACCCAAAAUAGGGGAAGAGCUCAAAUGUCCAUUGACAGAUGAAUGGGUAAAGAAGAUGUGGUAAUAUCUAUACAAUGGAAUAUGACUCGGCAAUCAAAAAGAAUGAAUUCUUGCCAUUUGCAACCACGUGGAUGGAACUGGAGCGUAUUUUGCUAAGUGAAAUUAGUCCGAGAAAGACACGUAUCGUAUGACUUCACUCAUAUGAGGACUUUAAGAGACAAAACAGAUGAACAUAAGGGAAGGGAAACAAAAAUAAUGCCAAAACAGGGAGGGAGACAAAACAGAAGAGACUCUUAAAAAUGGAGAACAAACUGAGGGAUACUGGAGGGGUUGUGGGGGGGGGGGGGAUGGGCUAAAUGGGUAAGGGGCACUCAGGAAUCUUCUCCUGAAACCAUUGUUCCACUCUGUGCUGACUAACUUGGAUGUAAAUUUAAAAAAGACAGAAAGGAAGGAAGGAAGGAAGAAAUGCUUGGGCGGGGGAGGCUGGAUGAAUCACACGUUCUGCGCGCCUGCUUGUCUGUGCCGCGUGAUGCUCCGUCGCGUCAGGGGUGAGGGUGUCCUCAGGGUCUGUGUCCAGGAUCGUAGCGCCAGUGCAGAACAGAGCGGAGGCCGAGCCCACCUCCCUCAUGUGAGGAGACUCGGACAGGGGCUGCUCACGCAGCCCCAGACCACGACGAACCUUUCCCUGCAAGACUUCGUGCCGUUUAGAACACCUCGACCCACAAUGAAGAGAUCAGAAGGGAAGUACUCUGUACAACUCUGCUGACCUUUUCUUGAGCCAGGUCCUCUCUUGCUGCGAUAACGUAUCCUAUCAAAUGUCCUGUUGAAUUUUGUAAGCACACGGUAAAAUCUCCAGUUUUACCGAGGAAGUCAGGUGUGCUCGGUAUGAUUUUCUCAGAUCUGCAAAGAGUGGUACUGUCGGGAGAUUGAAUCUGAUUCGAAGUGGGCCAUUUGAGCAUGUGACGGAAUUGCCGAGGGACAGACUCACAGUGGCCCCAGAAUACGGGUGCUGGCUGGCCUCUUCCCCGAGGGGGCGCCUGGCCCGGCACCUCCCUGCAUCACUUGUAGGUAAACGCUGCCUCUCUGGUUGUGUGCUUCUCAAAGCGCUUUCUCUCUGCUGCGUCUUGUUGCCAGUGGUGUAAGUUCGACGACGACGUGGUGUCCAGGUGUACGAAAGAGGAGGCCAUCGAGCACAAUUACGGGGGUCACGAUGACGACCUGUCGGUGCGGCACUGCACGAACGCGUACAUGUUGGUUUACAUCAGGGAAUCAAAGCUGAGUGAGU
This 9229-nucleotide long non-coding RNA is filed under the name Lynx pardinus (Iberian lynx). Lineage: Eukaryota; Metazoa; Chordata; Mammalia; Carnivora; Felidae. The record is from RNAcentral.